UACGGGGGGGGCAAGCGUUGUUCGGAAUUACUGGGCGUAAAGGGCUCGUAGGCGGCCAACUAAGUCAGACGUGAAAUCCCUCGGCUUAACCGGGGAACUGCGUCUGAUACUGGUUGGCUUGAAUCCGGGAGAGGGAUGUGGAAUUCCAGGUGUAGCGGUGAAAUUCGUAGAUAUCGGGAGGAACACCAGUGGCGAAGGCGGCGAUCUGGGAAGAUACUGACGCUGAGGUGCGAAAGCGUGGGGAGCAAACAGG
Molecule: ribosomal RNA, 253 nt
Filed under: uncultured bacterium
Lineage: Bacteria
Description: partial 16S ribosomal RNA
Rfam family: Bacterial small subunit ribosomal RNA
Source: RNAcentral